RNAcentral lists this ribosomal RNA (522 nucleotides) under uncultured Nitrospira sp. Its description in RNAcentral is "bacterial SSU rRNA". It matches the Rfam family "Bacterial small subunit ribosomal RNA", at positions 8 to 522 of the family's 1533-position model. The record is from RNAcentral. Lineage: Bacteria; Pseudomonadati; Nitrospirota; Nitrospiria; Nitrospirales; Nitrospiraceae.
AGAGUUUGAUCCUGGCUCAGAACGAACGCUGGCGGCGCGCCUAAUACAUGCAAGUCGAACGAGAAUGUGUAGCAAUACACAUGUAAAGUGGCGAACGGGUGAGGAUUACAUGGGUAACCUACCCUCGAGUGGGGAAUAACCAGCCGAAAGGUUGGCUAAUACCGCGUACGCUUCCCAGACUGCGGUUCGGGAAGGAAAGCGAUACCUUGGGUAUCGCGCUCUUGGAUGGGCUCAUGCCCUAUCAGCUUGUUGGUGAGGUAACGGCUCACCAAGGCUUCGACGGGUAGCUGAUCUGAGAGGAUGAUCAGCCACACUGGCACUGCGACACGGGCCAGACUCCUACGGGAGGCAGCAGUAAGGAAUAUUGCGCAAUGGGCGAAAGCCUGACGCAGCGACGCCGCGUGGGGGAUGAAGGUCUUCGGAUUGUAAACCCCUUUCGGGAGGGAAGAUGGGAUGGGGUAACCCAUUCGGACGGUACCUCCAGAAGCAGCCACGGCUAACUUCGUGCCAGCAGCCGCGGUA